RNAcentral lists this ribosomal RNA (788 nucleotides) under uncultured Lactobacillus sp. RNAcentral describes it as "bacterial SSU rRNA". It matches the Rfam family "Bacterial small subunit ribosomal RNA", at positions 28 to 776 of the family's 1533-position model. The record is from RNAcentral. Lineage: Bacteria; Bacillati; Bacillota; Bacilli; Lactobacillales; Lactobacillaceae.
GACGAACGCUGGCGGCGUGCCUAAUACAUGCAAGUCGAGCGAGCUUGCCUAGAUGAAUUUGGUGCUUGCACCAAAUGAAACUAGAUACAAGCGAGCGGCGGACGGGUGAGUAACACGUGGGUAACCUGCCCAAGAGACUGGGAUAACACCUGGAAACAGAUGCUAAUACCGGAUAACAACACUAGACGCAUGUCUAGAGUUUAAAAGAUGGUUCUGCUAUCACUCUUGGAUGGACCUGCGGUGCAUUAGCUAGUUGGUAAGGUAACGGCUUACCAAGGCAGUGAUGCAUAGCCGAGUUGAGAGACUGAUCGGCCACAUUGGGACUGAGACACGGCCCAAACUCCUACGGGAGGCAGCAGCAGGGAAUCUUCCACAAUGGACGCAAGUCUGAUGGAGCAACGCCGCGUGAGUGAAGAAGGGUUUCGGCUCGUAAAGCUCUGUUGGUAGUGAAGAAAGAUAGAGGUAGUAACUGGCCUUUAUUUGACGGUAAUUACUUAGAAAGUCACGGCUAACUACGUGCCAGCAGCCGCGGUAAUACGUAGGUGGCAAGCGUUGUCCGGAUUUAUUGGGCGUAAAGCGAGUGCAGGCGGUUCAAUAAGUCUGAUGUGAAAGCCUUCGGCUCAACCGGAGAAUUGCAUCAGAAACUGUUGAACUUGAGUGCAGAAGAGGAGAGUGGAACUCCAUGUGUAGCGGUGGAAUGCGUAGAUAUAUGGAAGAACACCAGUGGCGAAGGCGGCUCUCUGGUCUGCAACUGACGCUGAGGCUCGAAAGCAUGGGUAGCGAACAGG